AGCAGUAGCCGCGGUAAUACGAAGGGUGCAAGCGUUAAUCGGAAUUACUGGGCGUAAAGCGUGCGUAGGCGGUGAGUUAAGUCUGCUGUGAAAUCCCCGGGCUCAACCUGGGAAUGGCAGUGGAUACUGGCUCGCUAGAGUGUGUCAGAGGAUGGUGGAAUUCCCGGUGUAGCGGUGAAAUGCGUAGAGAUCGGGAGGAGCAUCAGUGGCGAAGGCGGCCAUCUGGGACAACACUGACGCUGAGGCACGAAAGCGUGGGGAGCAAACAGGAUUAGAUACCCCCGUAGUCCCUGUCUCUUAUAC
This 303-nucleotide ribosomal RNA is filed under the name uncultured bacterium. RNAcentral describes it as "partial 16S ribosomal RNA". It matches the Rfam family "Bacterial small subunit ribosomal RNA", at positions 507 to 807 of the family's 1533-position model. The record is from RNAcentral.